This is a non-coding RNA of Schistosoma mansoni, 45 nucleotides long. The record is from Rfam. NCBI's taxonomy places the organism in Eukaryota, Metazoa, Platyhelminthes, Trematoda, Strigeidida, Schistosomatidae.
AUCCAGCUAACGAGUUCUAAUUAGGACGAAACGCGCGUUCUGGAU